Molecule: ribosomal RNA, 397 nt
Filed under: uncultured bacterium
Lineage: Bacteria
Description: partial 16S ribosomal RNA
Rfam family: Bacterial small subunit ribosomal RNA
Source: RNAcentral
AUACGUAGGGGGCGAGCGUUGUCCGGAAUGAUUGGGCGUAAAGGGCGCGUAGGCGGCCCGGUAAGUCUGGAGUGAAAGUCCUGUUUUUAAGAUGGGAAUUGCUUUGGAUACUGUCGGGCUUGGGUGCAGGAGAGGUAAGUGGAAUUCCCAGUGUAGCGGUGAAAUGCGUAGAGAUUGGGAGGAACACCAGUGGCGAAGGCGACUUACUGGACUGUAACUGACGCUGAGGCGCGAAAGUGUGGGGAGCAAACAGGAUUAGAUACCCUGGUAGUCCACACUGUAAACGAUGAAUGCUAGGUGUAGGGGGUAUCGACCCCUUCUGUGCCGCAGUCAACACAAUAAGCAUUCCGCCUGGGGAGUACGGCCGCAAGGUUGAAACUCAAAUGAAUUGGCGGGG